CGUGCAGUAGCUCAGGGAUAGAGCUCCCGCUUCAUAUGCGGGAAGACCUGGAUUCCAUCCCCGGCUGCUUUC
RNAcentral lists this transfer RNA (72 nucleotides) under Toxocara canis (dog roundworm). It matches the Rfam family "tRNA". From Rfam's summary of the family: Transfer RNA (tRNA) molecules are approximately 80 nucleotides in length. Their secondary structure includes four short double-helical elements and three loops (D, anti-codon, and T loops). Lineage: Eukaryota; Metazoa; Nematoda; Chromadorea; Rhabditida; Toxocaridae. The record is from Rfam by way of RNAcentral.